GACGAACGCUGGCGGCGUGCUUAACACAUGCAAGUCGAACGAAGAGCGAUGGAAGCUUGCUUCUAUCACUCUUAGUGGCGACCGGGUGAGUAACGCGUAAUCAACCUGCCCUUCAGAGGGGGACAACAGUUGGAAACGACUGCUAAUACCGCAUACGAUCUAAUCUCGGCAUCGAGGAUAGAUGAAAGGUGGCCUCUACAUGUAAGCUAUCACUGAAGGAGGGGAUUGCGUCUGAUUAGCUAGUUGGAGGGGUAACGGCCCACCAAGGCGAUGAUCAGUAGCCGGUCUGAGAGGAUGAACGGCCACAGUGGGACUGAGACACGGCCCAGACUCCUACGGGAGGCAGCAGUGGGGAAUCUUCCGCAAUGGACGAAAGUCUGACGGAGCAACGCCGCGUGAGUGAUGACGGCCUUCGGGUUGUAAAGCUCUGUUAAUCGGGACGAAAGGCCUUCUUGCGAAUAGUGAGAAGGAUUGACGGUACCGGAAGAGAAAGCCACGGCUAACUACGUG
This 510-nucleotide ribosomal RNA is filed under the name uncultured bacterium. Its description in RNAcentral is "partial 16S ribosomal RNA". It matches the Rfam family "Bacterial small subunit ribosomal RNA", at positions 28 to 507 of the family's 1533-position model. The record is from RNAcentral.